UACGUAGGCAGCAAGCGUUGUUCGGAGUUACUGGGCGUAAAGGGUGUGUAGGCGGUUUUUUAAGUUUGCUGUGAAAUCUCCCGGCUUAACCGGGAGGGUGCGGUGAAUACUGAGGGACUAGAGUACGGGAGAGGAAAGUGGAAUUCCUGGUGUAGCGGUGAAAUGCGUAGAUAUCGGGAGGAACACCUGCGGCGAAGGCGGCUUCCUGGACUGCAACUGACGCUGAGGCGCGAAAGCUAGGGGAGCAAACAGG
Molecule: ribosomal RNA, 253 nt
Filed under: uncultured bacterium
Lineage: Bacteria
Description: partial 16S ribosomal RNA
Rfam family: Bacterial small subunit ribosomal RNA
Source: RNAcentral